This 71-nucleotide transfer RNA is filed under the name Neocaridina denticulata (Japanese swamp shrimp). Its description in RNAcentral is "tRNA-Trp". RNAcentral also lists the same sequence under 1 other name. The record is from RNAcentral. Lineage: Eukaryota; Metazoa; Arthropoda; Malacostraca; Decapoda; Atyidae.
AAGGUUUUAAGUUAAAAAAACUAGUAGCCUUCAAAGUUUCCUAUAAGAGUUUUCCAAUCUCUUAAACCUUA